UACGGAGGAUCCGAGCGUUAUCCGGAUUUAUUGGGUUUAAAGGGUGCGUAGGUGGUCUUAUAAGUCAGUGGUGAAAGUUUGCGGCUUAACCGUAAAAUUGCCAUUGAAACUGUAGGACUUGAGUACAAAUGAGGUAGGCGGAAUGUGUUGUGUAGCGGUGAAAUGCUUAGAUAUAACACAGAACACCAAUUGCGAAGGCAGCUUACUGGGAUGUAACUGACACUGAGGCACGAAAGCGUGGGGAUCAAACAGGAUUAGAUACC
This 263-nucleotide ribosomal RNA is filed under the name uncultured bacterium. Its description in RNAcentral is "partial 16S ribosomal RNA". It matches the Rfam family "Bacterial small subunit ribosomal RNA", at positions 524 to 786 of the family's 1533-position model. The record is from RNAcentral.